This 571-nucleotide ribosomal RNA is filed under the name Carinotetraodon travancoricus. RNAcentral's name for it is "partial 16S ribosomal RNA". It matches the Rfam family "Bacterial large subunit ribosomal RNA", at positions 1824 to 2597 of the family's 2925-position model. Lineage: Eukaryota; Metazoa; Chordata; Actinopteri; Tetraodontiformes; Tetraodontidae. The record is from RNAcentral.
CGCCUCUUGGAAACAAUGAAUAAGAGGUCCCGCCUGCCCUGUGACUAUAUGUUUAACGGCCGCGGUAUUUUGACCGUGCAAAGGUAGCGCAAUCACUUGUCCUUUAAAUGAGGACCUGUAUGAAUGGCACAACGAGGGCUUAACUGUCUCCUUUUUCAAGUCAAUGAAAUUGAUCUUCCCGUGCAGAAGCGGGAAUAAAAACAUAAGACGAGAAGACCCUAUGGAGCUUUAGACACAAAACAGAUCACGUCAAACACCCUCCAAUAAGAGCAUAAACUAAGUGAGCCCUGCUUAAAUGUCUUUGGUUGGGGCGACCGCGGGGCAACAAAAAACCCCCAAGUGGAAUAAAAACACCCUUUUUAAAACUAAGAGCUACCGCUCUAAUGAACAGAAUAUCUGACCUGUAAGAUCCGGCCCAGCCGAUCAACGAACCGAGUUACCCUAGGGAUAACAGCGCAAUCCUCUUUUAGAGCCCAUAUCGACAAGAGGGUUUACGACCUCGAUGUUGGAUCAGGACAUCCUAAUGGUGCAGCCGCUAUUAAGGGUUCGUUUGUUCAACGAUUAAAGUCCU